UGGGGGAUAGUUUAACGGUAGAACAGCUGACUCUGACUCUGCUAGUCUUGGUUCGAAUCCAGGUCCCCCAGCCA
This 74-nucleotide transfer RNA is filed under the name Novispirillum itersonii. RNAcentral describes it as "tRNA-Gln". It matches the Rfam family "tRNA". From Rfam's summary of the family: Transfer RNA (tRNA) molecules are approximately 80 nucleotides in length. Their secondary structure includes four short double-helical elements and three loops (D, anti-codon, and T loops). RNAcentral also lists the same sequence under 1 other name. Lineage: Bacteria; Pseudomonadati; Pseudomonadota; Alphaproteobacteria; Rhodospirillales; Novispirillaceae. The record is from RNAcentral.